AGCGAACGCUGGCGGCAGGCUUAACACAUGCAAGUCGAAGGUGAAGCCGGGCUUCGGCCCGGUGGAAACUGGCGCACGGGUGAGUAACGCGUGGGGAUAUGCCCAAGGGUACGGAAUAACCGCUGGAAACGGCGGCUAAUACCGUAUGUUCCCUCAGGGGGAAAGCUUCGGCGCCCUUGGAUUAUCCCGCGUCCGAUUAGCUUGUUGGUGAGGUAACGGCUCACCAAGGCUCCGAUCGGUAGCUGGUCUGAGAGGAUGAUCAGCCACACUGGGACUGAGACACGGCCCAGACUCCUACGGGAGGCAGCAGUGGGGAAUAUUGGACAAUGGGGGAAACCCUGAUCCAGCAAUGCCGCGUGUGUGAAGAAGGCCUGCGGGUUGUAAAGCACUUUCAGUUGAGAGGAAAGGCGUAUGGUUAAUACCCAUACGAGAUGACGUUACCUACAGAAGAAGCACCGGCUAGCUCUGUG
Molecule: ribosomal RNA, 470 nt
Filed under: uncultured bacterium
Lineage: Bacteria
Description: bacterial SSU rRNA
Rfam family: Bacterial small subunit ribosomal RNA
Source: RNAcentral